This 1228-nucleotide long non-coding RNA is filed under the name Triticum aestivum (bread wheat). RNAcentral's name for it is "long non-coding RNA (TAES_LNC019364)". Lineage: Eukaryota; Viridiplantae; Streptophyta; Magnoliopsida; Poales; Poaceae. The record is from RNAcentral.
AGGCAGUGGCGACACUACAUAAUGACUGCGAUGUCAAAGGACCACACAAGGUACAAGUUUGUCGCUUGUGUUUUACUACAUUUAAGUGUUGUUUAUGUAGUGUAUUCUAAAUAUAACAGCUGUGACAUCUCAACUUAUGACCCCUUGCUCCGCCACUGGUUCCAGAUCAAUAUUCUAGGCACUAAAAAUUAGCAGACUACUGGUGCCAUGUUGGAAUUACUAUGAGGUAUAAAAAUUUAAUUGUAGUUCUAUAUUGCAUCAAUUCAUCACCAGUUAAAAGGGAAAUCGGAUUAUUAAUAGCAAUCAUGAAUAGUUUUUCCUAUCUAUCAUAGGCCUCUCUUUUUCCCACCCAAUUUGUACUACCUCUGUACAUAAUAACAAUUCUCUUUUCAUGUGAAAAGAGCCAUACUGCUUCUGUGAGACAAUACUUCUUGUGGCUACUGGCUAGAUUAGGUAAAACAAUUUUUGAAAUACUGUAUGCUUGCCAUACAUUGCCUCGCUUCCUAUAAAAUAGUCAACAAAGUGAAACUUAAUUAUGGAAUGAGCUGAGUUAGUUAAGCAAGGUACAAUAUCUAUUUCAGAUGUGGUACUUGCAAAUCUAACUAGAUUUUGUGUUGGAACAUAUAACACCAUCUUCACCCAUGCUAUUGCCGACCAAUCACAUAAGCUUAUUUAAUAUCAUUAGAUAUGUCUUGUAGUGUUUAAAUAAUGAUGACAGAAAUACGUGCUGUUGUGUGAAAUGAUACCUAAUUAUGGUUGCAGUUCGUAUGUUUUAAAACAAUAUGUGGUAACAAACUAAUGAACUGUAGUUUUCCAGUUUUCCUUCAGUAGAUAGACAUGCAGUGUGAGUUGAUGCUACAUUAGCAAAAUCUGCUAGUGUAGUUCGUUUUUUGCUCUAAAUUUUGCUACUCUUUUAACCUUUUUUCUUUACCGUAAGUUAUUGAUCUCAUUUCUUUAUUGUUAUAGAUUGUUAAGGUAAGUUGAUGAUGCAUAGCUCAGAUGUGGAUUGCAAGGUCAGAUGUUGAUAGCAAGGUUGAGAACGGGGUUGCUACUGGAUAGUCUUAAGUUACGGUUUAGGAUGUCAUAUGUAAUAGGCGUCGAUUGAAACGUCCAUAACUUGGCUACUAGUAUCACAUCUUGUAAUCUUUGGAUCAUGUUCUAGUAUCAUAUCUUGUAUACUUUGGACCUUGUUCUUUGUGAAAGCAACAAAGUAAAUUUAAUAUAUGAG